GAUGAACGCUGGCGGCGUUCCUAAUACAUGCAAGUCGAGCGAACAGACGAGGAGCUUACUCCUCUGACGUUAGCGGCGGACGGGUGAGUAACACGUGGAUAACCUACCUAUAAGACUGGGAUAACUUCGGGAAACCGGAGCUAAUACCGGAUAACAUGUUGAACCGCAUGGUUCAACAGUGAAAGACGGUCUUGCUGUCACUUAUAGAUGGAUCCGCGUCGCAUUAGCUAGUUGGUAAGGUAACGGCUUACCAAGGCAACGAUGCGUAGCCGACCUGAGAGGGUGAUCGGCCACACUGGAACUGAGACACGGUCCAGACUCCUACGGGAGGCAGCAGUAGGGAAUCUUCCGCAAUGGGCGAAAGCCUGACGGAGCAACGCCGCGUGAGUGAAGAAGGUCUUCGGAUCGUAAAACUCUGUUAUUAGGGAAGAACAAAUGUGUAAGUAACUAUGCACGUCUUGACGGUACCUAAUCAGAAAGCCACGGCUAACUACGUG
RNAcentral lists this ribosomal RNA (497 nucleotides) under uncultured bacterium. RNAcentral describes it as "partial 16S ribosomal RNA". It matches the Rfam family "Bacterial small subunit ribosomal RNA", at positions 28 to 507 of the family's 1533-position model. The record is from RNAcentral.